This 466-nucleotide ribosomal RNA is filed under the name uncultured bacterium. Its description in RNAcentral is "partial 16S ribosomal RNA". It matches the Rfam family "Bacterial small subunit ribosomal RNA", at positions 28 to 507 of the family's 1533-position model. The record is from RNAcentral.
GAUGAACGCUGGCGGCGUGCUUAACACAUGCAAGUCGAACGGAAAGGCUCCUGCUUGCCGGGGUACUCGAGUGGCGAACGGGUGAGUAACACGUGGGUGAUCUGCCCUGCACUUCGGGAUAAGCCUGGGUAACUGGGGCUAAUACCGGAUAGGACGAUGGAUUGGAUGCCAUUGUGGAAAGUUUGUGCGGGUUUGGCUGAGCUCGCGGCCUAUCGGCUCGUUGGUGGGGUAAUGGCCUACCAAGGCGUCGACGGGUAGCCGGCCUGGGAGGGUGGACGGCGACAUUGCGACUGAGAGACGGCGCAGACUCCUACGGGAGGCAGCAGUGGGGAAUAUUGCACAAUGGGCGCAAGCCUGAUGCAGCGACGCCGCGUGGGGGAUGACGGCCUUCGGGUUGUAAACUCCUUUCGCUAGGGACGAAGCGCAAGUGACGGUACCUGGAGAAGAAGCAACGGCUAACUACGUG